This 1317-nucleotide ribosomal RNA is filed under the name Staphylococcus condimenti. RNAcentral describes it as "bacterial LSU rRNA". It matches the Rfam family "Bacterial large subunit ribosomal RNA", at positions 1602 to 2925 of the family's 2925-position model. The record is from RNAcentral. Lineage: Bacteria; Bacillati; Bacillota; Bacilli; Caryophanales; Staphylococcaceae.
ACACUGUCGAGAAAAGCCUCUAGCUAGAGAUUUGGCGCCCGUACCGCAAACCGACACAGGUAGUCAAGAUGAGAAUUCUAAGGUGAGCGAGAGAACUCUCGUUAAGGAACUCGGCAAAAUGACCCCGUAACUUCGGGAGAAGGGGUGCUCUUUAGGGUUCACGCUCUGAAGAGCCGCAGUGAAUAGGCCCAAGCGACUGUUUAUCAAAAACACAGGUCUCUGCUAAACCGUAAGGUGAUGUAUAGGGGCUGACGCCUGCCCGGUGCUGGAAGGUUAAGAGGAGUGGUUAGCUUCUGCGAAGCUACGAAUCGAAGCCCCAGUAAACGGCGGCCGUAACUAUAACGGUCCUAAGGUAGCGAAAUUCCUUGUCGGGUAAGUUCCGACCCGCACGAAAGGCGUAACGAUUUGGGCACUGUCUCAACGAGAGACUCGGUGAAAUCAUAGUACCUGUGAAGAUGCAGGUUACCCGCGACAGGACGGAAAGACCCCGUGGAGCUUUACUGUAGCCUGAUAUUGAAAUUCGGCACAGCUUGUACAGGAUAGGUAGGAGCCUUAGAAACGUGAGCGCCAGCUUACGUGGAGGCGUUGGUGGGAUACUACCCUAGCUGUGUUGGAUUUCUAACCCGCGCCAUUGAUCAUGGCGGGAGACAGUGUCAGGCGGGCAGUUUGACUGGGGCGGUCGCCUCCUAAAGUGUAACGGAGGCGCUCAAAGGUUCCCUCAGAAUGGUUGGAAAUCAUUCAUAGAGUGUAAAGGCAUAAGGGAGCUUGACUGCGAGACCUACAAGUCGAGCAGGGUCGAAAGACGGACUUAGUGAUCCGGUGGUUCCGCAUGGAAGGGCCAUCGCUCAACGGAUAAAAGCUACCCCGGGGAUAACAGGCUUAUCUCCCCCAAGAGUUCACAUCGACGGGGAGGUUUGGCACCUCGAUGUCGGCUCAUCGCAUCCUGGGGCUGUAGUCGGUCCCAAGGGUUGGGCUGUUCGCCCAUUAAAGCGGUACGCGAGCUGGGUUCAGAACGUCGUGAGACAGUUCGGUCCCUAUCCGUCGUGGGCGCAGGAAGUUUGAGAGGAGCUGUCCUUAGUACGAGAGGACCGGGAUGGACAUACCUCUGGUGUACCAGUUGUCGUGCCAACGGCAUAGCUGGGUAGCUAUGUAUGGACGGGAUAAGUGCUGAAAGCAUCUAAGCAUGAAGCCCCCCUCAAGAUGAGACUUCCCAACUUCGGUUAUAAGAUCCCUCAAAGAUGAUGAGGUUAAUAGGUUCGGGGUGGAAGCAUAGCGAUAUGUGGAGCUGACGAAUACUAAUCGAUCGAAGACUUAAUC